RNAcentral lists this ribosomal RNA (293 nucleotides) under Paranoxybacillus vitaminiphilus. Its description in RNAcentral is "Anoxybacillus vitaminiphilus partial 16S ribosomal RNA". It matches the Rfam family "Bacterial small subunit ribosomal RNA", at positions 1 to 282 of the family's 1533-position model. Lineage: Bacteria; Bacillati; Bacillota; Bacilli; Caryophanales; Anoxybacillaceae. The record is from RNAcentral.
UUUUAUUGGAGAGUUUGAUCCUGGCUCAGGACGAACGCUGGCGGCGUGCCUAAUACAUGCAAGUCGAGCGGACCAAAGGGAGCUUGCUCCCUGAGGUUAGCGGCGGACGGGUGAGUAACACGUGGGCAACCUGCCCUGCAGACCGGGAUAACUUCGGGAAACCGGAGCUAAUACCGGAUAAUACCGAAAACCGCAUGGUUUUCGGUUGAAAGGCGGCUUUGGCUGUCACUGCAGGAUGGGCCCGCGGCGCAUUAGCUAGUUGGUGAGGUAACGGCUUACCAAGGCGACGAUGC